GUCUGGGCUCGGUUAACAGUCGGAUUUAGACGCCUUCACCAUGAAUCCUCGGAAAGGCUGAUGGAGAGCGACUGGGAUUGUUUUCAAUAUCAUUGGCUUUGGGAUAAAGAAAGUCUGGAUUCAAGGUCAUAAGAAAAUGGUGGCCAAAUGUUGCCCUGACCACACCUUGGUGAAAGCAUGUUGACCAGGCUGUCGUGCUGAUGCCUCGGAUCCUGGAUGGCAGUGGAGAGAAUGCUUCAUUCUAUGGCAUGCUGUUGAGACCUCCUUGUGCCUUUUUCUCGAAGUAGUCAAACCAGACUGCUGGAUUUGAGCUACCUUUGUGUGAAUAGAGAACUUUGGAGUUCAAGCUUCAGAGAGUUCCCUAAGUGACUCGCUAGAGAACUAAGAUAAGGCUUAACACUUUUUUUCUUUUAAUGCCCCUCACCUUCCAAUUUUUUGUUAUUUUGGAAUCACAUUUUAAAAUGAUAUCCAUUUAAUUUAUUGAGUCUUCCUGUCUGGUCUUAUUUAAAUGUGACUUUUUGGUUAGGUUUAUUGCUAGGAUUUUGUUUUGAUUUUUGCUUGUGUUUUUAAUGACCCUUUAUUGUUUUAUGAAUGAGAUCCUGUGACCUAUUACAUUUUUUAACUGCUUAUUGUUAGUGCAAUAUAAUAUAUUGGUUAUAUGAACAAACUCUGCCAGACUCUGUCACUUAUUAGCUGUGUGACCUCACAUAGUUACCUAUCUUUUCCUUAGGAUUUUUUUUAAAUCUUUAAAAUCAGGAUAAUAAUGCUAAUCUCCCUCAGGAUUAAGGGAGUUAAUAUACUAAACAGCAUUUAGUACAGUGCUCAGUACAUAGUCCUCAAAAAUUGUUAGUUGUUGUUACGACCACUGGUGUCUAGCACU
Odocoileus virginianus texanus is the source of this 880-nucleotide non-coding RNA. NCBI's taxonomy places the organism in Eukaryota, Metazoa, Chordata, Mammalia, Artiodactyla, Cervidae. The record is from RefSeq and is a predicted model, not a curated record.